GCCUCCUUAGCUCAACUGGCAGAGCAAUCGUUUUGUAAGCGAUAGGUUAUCGGUUCGAUUCCGGUAGGAGGCU
This 73-nucleotide transfer RNA is filed under the name Caudoviricetes sp. Its description in RNAcentral is "tRNA-Thr". It matches the Rfam family "tRNA". Rfam says of the family: Transfer RNA (tRNA) molecules are approximately 80 nucleotides in length. Their secondary structure includes four short double-helical elements and three loops (D, anti-codon, and T loops). The record is from RNAcentral. Lineage: Duplodnaviria; Heunggongvirae; Uroviricota; Caudoviricetes.